UUACCGAGUGAGGGCCCUCUGGGUCCAACCUCCCACCCGUGUUUAUCGUACCUUGUUGCUUCGGCGGGCCCGCCUCACGGCCGCCGGGGGGCAUCCGCCCCCGGGCCCGCGCCCGCCGAAGACACACAAACGAACUCUUGUCUGAAGAUUGCAGUCUGAGUACUUGACUAAAUCAGUUAAAACUUUCAACAACGGAUCUCUUGGUUCCGGCAUCGAUGAAGAACGCAGCGAAAUGCGAUAAGUAAUGUGAAUUGCAGAAUUCAGUGAAUCAUCGAGUCUUUGAACGCACAUUGCGCCCCCUGGUAUUCCGGGGGGCAUGCCUGUCCGAGCGUCAUUGCUGCCCUCAAGCACGGCUUGUGUGUUGGGCUCUCGCCCCCCGCUUCCGGGGGGCGGGCCCGAAAGGCAGCGGCGGCACCGCGUCCGGUCCUCGAGCGUAUGGGGCUUCGUCACCCGCUCUGUAGGCCCGGCCGGCGCCCGCCGGCGAACACCAUCAAUCUUAACCAGGUUGACCUCGGAUCAGGUAGGGAUACCCGCUGAACUUAAGCAUAUC
RNAcentral lists this ribosomal RNA (550 nucleotides) under Penicillium oxalicum. RNAcentral's name for it is "eukaryotic LSU rRNA". The stretch from base 181 to 334 matches the Rfam family "5.8S ribosomal RNA". The record is from RNAcentral. Lineage: Eukaryota; Fungi; Ascomycota; Eurotiomycetes; Eurotiales; Aspergillaceae.